GACAGAGGGUGCAAACGUUGUUCGGAAUUACUGGGCGUAAAGCGCGUGUAGGCUGCUUCGCAAGUCGGGUGUGAAAGCCCUGGGCUCAACCUAGGAAGUGCACUCGAAACUGCGGAGCUUGAGUCUCGGAGAGGGUCGCGGAAUUCUCGGUGUAGAGGUGAAAUUCGUAGAUAUCGAGAGGAACACCGGUGGCGAAGGCGGCGACCUGGACGAUGACUGACGCUGAGACGCGAAAGCGUGGGGAGCAAACAGG
This 253-nucleotide ribosomal RNA is filed under the name uncultured bacterium. Its description in RNAcentral is "partial 16S ribosomal RNA". It matches the Rfam family "Bacterial small subunit ribosomal RNA", at positions 524 to 776 of the family's 1533-position model. The record is from RNAcentral.